UUAAACCCAAAGAAUUUGGCGGUACUUUAUUCCAUUCAGAGGAACCUACCCCAUGAUUGAUAGUGCACGAUUAACAUAACUUAAUUUAUUUGUUUGUAUAUCUCCGUUAUCAGAAAAUCUUUGUAGAGUUUAAAUUUUCAUAAUUUAUUAUUUUAAAGUAUUUCAGGUCAAGGUGCAGCUUAUAAUUAAGAGGAGGUGGGUUACAAUAAAUUUUAAUUUAUUACGGAUAUUUUAAUGAAAAUUAAAAUUCAAGGUGGAUUUGAUAGUAAAUUGAUUUAUUUAAUUCUAUUGAUAUUGGCUCUAAUGUGUGUACACAUC
This 318-nucleotide ribosomal RNA is filed under the name Gymnidium turbinatum. Its description in RNAcentral is "partial 12S ribosomal RNA". The record is from RNAcentral. Lineage: Eukaryota; Metazoa; Arthropoda; Insecta; Orthoptera; Lentulidae.